UACGUAGGGUGCAGGCGUUAAUCGGAAUUACUGGGCGUAAAGCGUGCGCAGGCGGCUUCCUAAGUCAGAUGUGAAAUCCCCGGGCUUAACCUGGGAACUGCGUUUGAAACUGGGAGGCUCGAGUGCGGCAGAGGGGGGUGGAAUUCCACGUGUAGCAGUGAAAUGCGUAGAUAUGUGGAGGAACACCGAUGGCGAAGGCAGCCCCCUGGGCCUGCACUGACACUCAUGCACGAAAGCGUGGGGAGCAAACAGG
This 253-nucleotide ribosomal RNA is filed under the name uncultured bacterium. RNAcentral's name for it is "partial 16S ribosomal RNA". It matches the Rfam family "Bacterial small subunit ribosomal RNA", at positions 524 to 776 of the family's 1533-position model. The record is from RNAcentral.